Molecule: ribosomal RNA, 449 nt
Filed under: uncultured bacterium
Lineage: Bacteria
Description: partial 16S ribosomal RNA
Rfam family: Bacterial small subunit ribosomal RNA
Source: RNAcentral
AGCGAACGCUGGCGGCAGGCCUAACACAUGCAAGUCGAACGGACCCUUCGGGGUUAGUGGCGGACGGGUGAGUAACACGUGGGAACGUGCCUUUAGGUUCGGAAUAGCUCCUGGAAACGGGUGGUAAUGCCGAAUGUGCCCUUCGGGGGAAAGAUUUAUCGCCUUUAGGGCGGCCCGCGUCUGAUUAGCUAGUUGGUGAGGUAAUGGCUCACCAAGGCGACGAUCAGUAGCUGGUCUGCGAGGAUGACCAGCCACACUGGGACUGAGACACGGCACAGACUCCUACGGGAGGCAGCAGUGGGGAAUCUUGCGCAAUGGGCGAAAGCCUGAGGCAGCCAUGCCGCGUGAAUGAUUAAGGUCUUAGGAUUGUAAAAUUCUUUCACCGGGGACGAUAAUGACGGUACCCGGAGAAGAAGCCCCGGCUAACUUCGUGCCAGCAGCCGCCGUAA